GAUGAACGCUGGCGGCGUGCCUAAUACAUGCAAGUCGAGCGAACAGACGAGGAGCUUGCUCCUCUGACGUUAGCGGCGGACGGGUGAGUAACACGUGGAUAACCUACCUAUAAGACUGGGAUAACUUCGGGAAACCGGAGCUAAUACCGGAUAAUAUAUUGAACCGCAUGGUUCAAUAGUGAAAGACGGUUUUGCUGUCACUUAUAGAUGGAUCCGCGCCGCAUUAGCUAGUUGGUAAGGUAACGGCUUACCAAGGCGACGAUGCGUAGCCGACCUGAGAGGGUGAUCGGCCACCCUGGAACUGAGACACGGUCCAGACUCCUACGGGAGGCAGCAGUCGGGAAUCUUCCGCAAUGGGCGAAAGCCUGACGGAGCAACGCCGCGUGAGUGAUGAAGGUCUUCGGAUCGUAAAACUCUGUUAUUAGGGAAGAACAAAUGUGUAAGUAACUAUGCACGUCUUGACGGUACCUAAUCAGAAAGCCACGGCUAACUACGUG
This 497-nucleotide ribosomal RNA is filed under the name uncultured bacterium. RNAcentral describes it as "partial 16S ribosomal RNA". It matches the Rfam family "Bacterial small subunit ribosomal RNA", at positions 28 to 507 of the family's 1533-position model. The record is from RNAcentral.